UCCAGGAUUGCAUUUAGCACAUAUAGUACAUGACUUACAGUAAUUCUGUGUUAAGGUGGUGAUGCCUGGUGCUUCGAAAUAUUUGUCAAUCAGUGAAUUCAUCAGGAGUUUUGACAGAUGAGCUGGCCCAUGGGGCCAUUGGACCACCGCUGGAUACAUAUUUCUGGGUAGGCAAAACUUGAGAUUGAUAGUGUAAACAUCAUCACGGAGUACAGCUCCUUUGUUCUUCC
This is a non-coding RNA of Pelobates cultripes (western spadefoot toad), 230 nucleotides long. The record is from the annotation of a GenBank genome assembly. Lineage: Eukaryota; Metazoa; Chordata; Amphibia; Anura; Pelobatidae.